GAAGCCCACUUGUGGGUGGAUUAGUGGCGAACGGGUGAGUAACACGUGAGUAACCUGCCCUUGACUCUGGGAUAAGCCUGGGAAACUGGGUCUAAUACCGGAUAUGACUGAUCAUCGCAUGGUGGUUGGUGGAAAGCUUUUUGUGGUUUUGGAUGGACUCGCGGCCUAUCAGCUUGUUGGUGAGGUAAUGGCUUACCAAGGCGACGACGGGUAGCCGGCCUGAGAGGGUGACCGGCCACACUGGGACUGAGACACGGCCCAGACUCCUACGGGAGGCAGCAGUGGGGAAUAUUGCACAAUGGGCGCAAGCCUGAUGCAGCGACGCCGCGUGAGGGAUGACGGCCUUCGGGUUGUAAACCUCUUUCAGUAGGGAAGAAGCCUUUCGGGGUGACGGUACCUGCAGAAGAAGCGCCGGCUAACUACGUGCCAGCAGCCGCGGUAAUACGUAGGGCGCAAGCGUUAUCCGGAAUUAUUGGGCGUAAAGAGCUCGUAGGCGGUUUGUCGCGUCUGCCGUGAAAGUCCGGGGCUCAACUCCGGAUCUGCGGUGGGUACGGGCAGACUAGAGUGAUGUAGGGGAGACUGGAAUUCCUGGUGUAGCGGUGAAAUGCGCAGAUAUCAGGAGGAACACCGAUGGCGAAGGCAGGUCUCUGGGCAUUAACUGACGCUGAGGAGCGAAAGCAUGGGGAGCGAACAGGAUUAGAUACCCUGGUAGUCCAUGCCGUAAACGUUGGGCACUAGGUGUGGGGGACAUUCCACGUUUUCCGCGCCGU
Molecule: ribosomal RNA, 770 nt
Filed under: Pseudarthrobacter sp.
Lineage: Bacteria; Bacillati; Actinomycetota; Actinomycetes; Micrococcales; Micrococcaceae
Description: bacterial SSU rRNA
Rfam family: Bacterial small subunit ribosomal RNA
Source: RNAcentral